GCAUGCAUGGUGUAUGGAUAGUAUUCAGCACCAAGGACAGGUAUGUUGGCCUAUGUGUUUAUAGUAUUCAGCACCAGGGACAGGUAUGUUUGUCU
RNAcentral lists this microRNA precursor (95 nucleotides) under Branchiostoma floridae (Florida lancelet). Its description in RNAcentral is "mir-2060 microRNA precursor family". It matches the Rfam family "mir-2060 microRNA precursor family". The record is from Rfam by way of RNAcentral. Lineage: Eukaryota; Metazoa; Chordata; Leptocardii; Amphioxiformes; Branchiostomatidae.